This 148-nucleotide non-coding RNA is filed under the name Gorilla gorilla gorilla (western lowland gorilla). The record is from Rfam by way of RNAcentral. Lineage: Eukaryota; Metazoa; Chordata; Mammalia; Primates; Hominidae.
GCUGGGCAUGGUGGUGUGUACCUGUGGUCCCAGCUACUCAGGAGGCUUAGGUGGGAGGAUCACUUGAGCCCAGGAGGUUGAGGCUGCAGUGAUCCACGAUUGCACCACUGCACUCUAGCCUGGGCAACAGAGUGAGACCCUCUCUAAC